UACAGAGACUGCAAGCGUUAUUCGGAUUCACUGGGCGUAAAGGGUGCGCAGGCGGCCAAGUGUGUGAGGCGUGAAAGCCCGGGGCUUAACCCCGGAAUUGCACCUCAAACUACAUGGCUAGAGCAUUGGAGAGGGUAGCGGAAGUUCACGGUGUAGCAGUGAAAUGCGUAGAUAUCGUGAGGAACACCAGAGGCGAAGGCGGCUACCUGGACAAUUGCUGACGCUCAGGCACGAAAGCGUGGGGGAGCAAAAGGG
This 255-nucleotide ribosomal RNA is filed under the name uncultured bacterium. RNAcentral's name for it is "partial 16S ribosomal RNA". It matches the Rfam family "Bacterial small subunit ribosomal RNA", at positions 524 to 776 of the family's 1533-position model. The record is from RNAcentral.